GGGGCUGAUUCUGGAUUCGACGGGAUUUGCGAAGCCCAAGGAGCAUGCCGAGGGGCGGUUUGCCUCGUAAAAAGCCGCAAAAAAAUAGUCGCAAACGACGAAAACUACGC
Molecule: transfer-messenger RNA, 110 nt
Filed under: Hafniaceae bacterium
Lineage: Bacteria; Pseudomonadati; Pseudomonadota; Gammaproteobacteria; Enterobacterales; Hafniaceae
Description: partial transfer-messenger RNA
Rfam family: transfer-messenger RNA
About the family: Bacterial tmRNA, also known as 10Sa RNA or SsrA, is named for its dual tRNA and mRNA-like properties. Its role is to liberate the mRNA from a stalled ribosome.
Source: RNAcentral